CCAAUAGCGUAUAUUAAAGUUGUUGCAGUUAAAAAGCUCGUAGUUGAAUUUCGGGAUUGACGUAAUGGUCGUGCCUUAAGGGGUAUGAACUGUUGCUGUUGAUUUCUCACCUUCUGGAGAAACUUGAUGUCCUUAAUUGGGUGUCUUGCGGAUCCAGGACCUUUACCUUGAAAAAAUUAGAGUGUUUAAAGCAGGCAUUUUUGCUCGAAUACAUUAGCAUGGAAUAAUAGAAUUGGACGGCAUGGUUCUAUUUUGUUGGUUUCUAGGAUCACCGUAAUGAUUAAUAGGGAUAGUUGGGGGCAUUAGUAUUCAAUUGUCAGAGGUGAAAUUCUUGGAUUUAUUGAAGACUAACUACUGCGAAAGCAUUUGCCAAGGAUGUUUUCAUUAAUCAAGAACGAAAGUUAGGGGAUCGAAGACGAUCAGAUACCGUCGUAGUCUUAACCAUAAACUAUGCCGACUAGGAAUCAGACGAUGUUAAUUUUUUAAUGACUCGUUUGGCACCUUACG
RNAcentral lists this ribosomal RNA (507 nucleotides) under uncultured Glomeromycotina. RNAcentral describes it as "partial small subunit ribosomal RNA". It matches the Rfam family "Eukaryotic small subunit ribosomal RNA", at positions 591 to 1092 of the family's 1831-position model. Lineage: Eukaryota; Fungi; Glomeromycota. The record is from RNAcentral.